This 804-nucleotide non-coding RNA is filed under the name Parnassius jacquemontii tibetanus. The record is from RNAcentral. Lineage: Eukaryota; Metazoa; Arthropoda; Insecta; Lepidoptera; Papilionidae.
AAAUCUAUAUGAGAAAAUUUUAUAUAUAAAUAAAUUUUUAUGAUUUGAAAAAAUUUAAUUUAAAUUUAUUUUACAUGUAAAUUUUAGUGUUAAUUUUUAAUUAUUUUAAUAAUAAUUAUUAAUAUUUGCAGUAAUUAAAAUUAAAAAUUUAAGAAAUUAAGAUUUAGAAAUAUUUUGAUUAUUAACAAAUUUUGUGCCAGCAGUUGCGGUUAUACAAAAAAUAAUUUAAAUUUUAUCGGUAUAUAAUAAAUAAGAAUUAUUAUUUAAAUUAAAUAUUAAAUUAUUAAGUGAAAUUUUAAUUUAAUUAAAAUUUAUAUUAAUUUUAUGAUUUAUUAAAUUUUAUAAAAAACUAGGAUUAGAUACCCUACUAUUAAAAAUUAAAUUUAUAAUACUAAAAUAGUAGAUAAUAAUUUAUUGAAACUUAAAUAAUUUGGCGGUAUUUUAGUUCAUUUAGAGGAAUCUGUUUAAUAAUUGAUAAUCCACGAAUAAAUUUACUUAAUUUAUUAUUUUGUAUAUCGUUGUUAAAAAAAUAUUUUUUAAUAAAAAUAAUAUUUAAAAAUUUUUAUAUAAAAUUAAUUCAGAUCAAGAUGCAGAUUAUAAUUAAGAAUAUAAUGGAUUACAAUAAAUAAAUUUAAAUGAAUAAUAUUUUUUAAUAAAUAUUUGAAGGUGGAUUUAAAUGUAAUUUUAAUUAAUUUAUUAAAAUGAUUAUAUAUUAAAAUAUGUACAUAUUGCCCGUCGCUUUCAUUAAUAAAUUGGAAUAAGUCGUAACAAAGUAGAGGUACUGGAAAGUGUUUCUAGAAAGAA